UGCACCUCCUCAUUGUCUAGCAAAAAAACAACUCCCUUCGUUACUUACUUUUACCUUACUGAAGCAAAAGAGGGUAUCCAUUGUAAUUUCAUUCCUUAUACGAGUCUGCAUAAAAAAUGGGCCCUCACCAUGUCAGGUAAAGUGAUUCCCUCGGAUAAAUUUAAUCACAGAUCACAGAGAGCAUUAAUUAACCCUUCUGCACAUUGAGCUCUGAGAGCUCCCCUGUGCUAACCCAGGCAAGUUUGCUGCAGAGAAAUUGUCAUUAGUGACGAGUGGAGGCCAACCUUGUGCUUCUGGUGAAACAAGAAGGAUGGGCUGAGGCUAUGGAAUUUUCAUUUUGGGUUCAUUUCAAUAACAAAAUAAGGGAUGUUUUAUUUUUUUGCAUUGCUGCUUUGAAAACUGGCACUUUCAGAUUCUAUCUGGUUGCUUGUGGUUUUUUCUGAAAGCUAAAGAAUGGAAAAGGGAUUUGUUUGCAUUUAAAGGAGAGCUUGACAAAAAAGAGAAAUAUUGACUUAAUUUAGGUAGCAUUCCCAGUAAACAAGCUGGUAGGUUUUGUUUUUUUUUAAUAAUAAUUUACAUCCAUUCCUCUGCAGAGUGUACCCUGUGAAUUUCUUACCCAAGACAAAGUCCAUCAUUCUGCCUUGCAGGCUUUCUUGUAUGUAUUUCUGCCGUAUUUACCCAGAAAUGUGGGUCUAAGGAAGCAUCAUAUCAGCUGAAACCACCUAGGGUUUACACAGGUCAACAGACCUCCUGCUGCUGCCAUCCCUGCUUAACAUGGACCUCAGCAUUGCUCAGCCUCAGCUGUGCUCAUCUCCCACUUCACAUGCUGUCAAAUGACUUCUCCAGACGUUAAAAAAGAACAACAAAAGGA
This 871-nucleotide long non-coding RNA is filed under the name Coturnix japonica (Japanese quail). Its description in RNAcentral is "lncRNA (ENSCJPG00005020830.1)". The record is from RNAcentral. Lineage: Eukaryota; Metazoa; Chordata; Aves; Galliformes; Phasianidae.